Molecule: ribosomal RNA, 341 nt
Filed under: uncultured bacterium
Lineage: Bacteria
Description: partial 16S ribosomal RNA
Rfam family: Bacterial small subunit ribosomal RNA
Source: RNAcentral
CCUACGGGUGGCUGCAGUCGAGAAUCAUUCACAAUGGGGGAAACCCUGAUGGUGCGACGCCGCGUGGGGGAAUGAAGGUCUUCGGAUUGUAAACCCCUGUCAUGUGGGAGCAAAUUAAAAAGAUAGUACCACAAGAGGAAGAGACGGCUAACUCUGUGCCAGCAGCCGCGGUAAUACAGAGGUCUCAAGCGUUGUUCGGAAUCACUGGGCGUAAAGCGUGCGUAGGCUGUUUCGUAAGUCGUGUGUGAAAGGCGCGGGCUCAACCCGCGGAAGGCACAUGGUACUGCGAGACUUGAGUAAAGGAGGGGGAAACGGAAAUUUCGGGGUAGGAGGGAAAAGCG